RNAcentral lists this ribosomal RNA (406 nucleotides) under uncultured bacterium. RNAcentral describes it as "partial 16S ribosomal RNA". It matches the Rfam family "Bacterial small subunit ribosomal RNA", at positions 30 to 526 of the family's 1533-position model. The record is from RNAcentral.
AUUGAACGCUGGCGGCAGGCUUAACACAUGCAAGUCGAACGAGUGGCGGCCGGGUGAGUAAUGCUUCGGAAUCUAGCUUCUGGAUUGUGAUAACUACGGGAAACUGUCGCUAAUACCGCGUCCCAUCGUAUGAGCCCAAGUGGGAUUAGGUAGUUGGUGAGGUAAAGGCUCACCAAGCCGACGAUCUCUAGCUGGUCUGAGAGGAUGACCAGCGAAACUGGGACUGAGAAACGGCCCAGACUCCUACGGGAGGCAGCAGUGGGGAAUAUUGCGCAAUGGGGGCAAGCCUGACGCAGCCAUGCCGCGUGUAUGAAGAAGGCCUUCGGGUUGUAAAGUACUUUCAGUCGGGAGGCGUUACCGACAGAAGAAGCACCGGCUAACUCCGUGCCAGCAGCCGCGGUAAUAC